CCGAGGGCACCGCCGCGGGCGGGAGCUGCGGGCGAGGGGCGGCUCUGAGAGAACGGGAAGGCCCCGCUAGACCUUCCUGGGAAGGCCGCGAACGGCCCCCCCACCCCAUGCAGGCUGCCUGUGAGAGAGGCUGUCAGCAGGGAGGCGUGAGCUCAGGAUUCACAAAAAACGCUGUAACAACAAGAAAAAAAUGUUUGGCAGUCUCCGAGAUUGCGUCAUGUUUGAGCUCGGGGGCCUGCCUGUCAGACACCCGGAGCUUCUGCCUCGUCCUCGGGUUCAAGCCCCCGUUAUCUCUGUCCCUGUGAGCUCCCCAGGAGCGCUGGCCACAGCACCUACUGCUCUCCUGCGGUGAGCCCAGGCAAGUCACGGAAACGCAGAUCCCUUAGGUUGCAACAGACCUCUGAGAUCAUCGAAUCCAACCUGUGACCGAUCGCCACCCUGUCAGCUAAGUGCCAUCCAGCCUUUCCUUAAACACCUCCAGGGAUGGUGACUCCACCACCUCCCUGGGCAGCCCAUUCUAACAGCUAAUCACCCUUUCUCUGAAGAAUUUCUUCCUAAUGUCCAAUCUGAAAUCCACUCAGUUUCAGCCAUGUGACUCUCUCAAGCAAAACCAUUACCUAUCUCUUAAAUUAAAGAUAUUUUAUGAUUUCAAAACAAAGAUAAAGUGAGCUCACUCAGCUGUUUGUAUGCUUUAACCUUUGCUGUAUUGCACAGAACCAGAGAGCUGAUGGGAGAGCUGCAACUGGGAUGUAGUGUUUGAUGUUCUGGCCUAGCAAGGCUCUUUCAAACAAGUUUUACUGGCUGUUGCAUAGAAAAAAGGUUCUUAAGAACACCCUGCACGCUGAAGGCACCUUCAAAUUUGGGCAUCACCAAAGGUUUGAUUAUGGGAAAUGCUGCCCUGUGCCAAAAUUCCUAUACCAGUUUCAAGGGUGAACUACAAGUUCAGAAAUCCAAUUCCACACCUCAAAAUAUUGAAUGAUACUACAUAAAAUGGUGUUGUUGCAAGUCAGAGUUACAAUUUUAGUGAUAAUAAAAGUUUUCUGCACAAUUCCAUUCCUCUUCACAAGCCAUAAUGGAUGAAAUAGAUGUAAUCUGAUACUUUGAUCAUCAAGAGAAUUAUUAAAUAAAUUGUACUAGGAUAUUCUUCAUUGUGAUGCUUUGGCCAGGGUCAUAGUUUGACAUUCCUAGGGUCAAGGUGAAUUUACACUGAUAGUUAUAAAGUUGCCUACAAUAUUUUUACUUCUAAUCUAUGCAGAUCCAACAUGGAUAUGGGUAAGAUAAAAUAACAAUAUAAUAUAACAGUAUAACAAUAUACAAUAUAAUAUAACAGUAACAAUAAAAUAUAGAAUCACAGAUUGUAAUUCGUAUUGCCACUUUCCAGAACUGCAACCACACGUUAACCACAGUAUCCUUCCUGUUAUUUGUGAAAUAUGAAUGUCAAGAAAUAGCCUUUAGAAGUAACACCAACACCAACUCUCCCCCCUCAACAGCUAGAACAGUUUUACCUCCAAGAGAGGAAAAAACCCCAACACUGAAUAUUUUUUCUGCAGCACCAAAAUCCAAUGUUCUUUUCUGGUUCCACAGACACCAAACUAUGCCACACACCUUCUGCCCAGCUGCAGCUACCAAUAAAAGAAGCAAGAUCUACUUUGUUCAGAGAAAACAAGAGGCUUGCCAUGUGGGUUGCACAGCACUGCCACUGUUUAGAUGGUAAAAGAAAAUUACUGUAAUUGUUUAUGACGUCUAUGAAAACCUGCUCAGCCUGAAGUAAAUGACAGAAGUCUCACUUGUUUCAAUAAUUCUAGUUUUGGCUCAUUAAUUAAUACUAGGAGUUCUUCUCCACAAGAAAUUGUACAAAAACAUAUUCUGCCUUAAAGUACUUUUCUUUUUUUCUCUCCAAAAAACGGAUUCGUAUUUUGUUCUGUGUUUUCCUAAAAUGAAGGCGAAAGACAUGUCAUUGUAAAUACAAUUAUUGAAUUAUUUCCUUUUAGUUUCACAAAAAGGAAAUAAUUGUAUUAAAAAUGACAUGUCAUUUCCUUCAUCCAAACCCGAUCAAGAAAACACCCUACUGAAGGGCAGGGGGCUGUGCAUCUGCUUUGCUGGAGUUUCUAUCAGGCCCUUGGAUUAAUCUCAUACACUUGCAAUCACAGCAGUUUGCAAGAAUUUCCCCUGCUUCCCCAACCUCUGCUGAGUGCUGCAGGUGUUCAGGACCAUGCUGGGUCCCCCCAGCCCUGGUCACAGCCCGGUGCCAGGCGGCAGAGCAGGAGCUGUGGCACCCUGGUGUCCCCGGGGCUGGCAGGGCCCAGGAGGGGCUGGCUCCCUCACAGAUGUAGAAAGCAGUCGCUGCUGUCUAAGCACAGAGGCAGCUUCCUUUUCCCACGGUGCUGGGAGGAAACCAGAGAUCCAAACUGUCACAGUCAGGCUCGCUCAUUGUUAUGUGCUUGGACAAGAACAUAUUUAUAAUUCUUCCUGUGAUAUUGUUUUAUCUGUAAGCUAGGAUUUCGCUCUCCUAAUAUUCAGCAACACCAAGUAAGACCUACAGAAAAGUAGUCAGGAUAAUGAAAAAUUGCAGAGCUGCAGGACUGUAAAUCUGGGGUGCAGGUUCAGGUAAAGAUGGGGAGACAAGAGAAAACACAUCAAAUUUACCAAGAUUUAAAAUAUUCUGACUGAAGGACUGUAUUUCCACCAGGAAGAACUCUGACCAAUGAAACAACACAACUGAGCUUACUGGUGAUAAGACUGUUAAAAACUCUGAGGAGGAAAGGCCUUAGGAAGCAGAUGGUCUUUUGCAGCUGUGUUCCCUGUUCUCCCAGCCAGGCAGAGGCAAGGCUGCCCCAGCACGGUCAUGGGGCAAGGACGAGGAGGACGGUGGCACAGGAGCCAGGGUCUGUGGCUGGGAGCUGCCCAGGAUGAGGGUCAGAUACAGCAGGGGACGUGUAUCUUGCCCUUGGGUAGGGAGCUCUGAACAGCACAGACACAAACAGCACGUGGGGGCUGCCCUUUGCUUCAGUGAGACACAGAGAGGAGAAAUGCAGCUGAUAGGAGGCUCAGGAGUGUCCUGCUCUGGCUCAGACUGAUGCAGACACAAACAUGUUGAUAUCACUGCACGUAAGAGAAAUUAAAUGUGUCCUUGUUAGCAGCAUCUUCUUUAAACAACACACUCCUUUAUUUUUAAUUAACUGGAAUAAGGGAAACUAUUUUCAUGCUACCAAGAGAGUAUUCCAAUCAGUGGAAAAUAAGAUGAGCAAAGAAUGAAGAACACUCAAAUGAACUAUGAAACAAUAGCUUGAGUUUCAUUUCUUUUCAGAAAAUCCAAUGUUCAGGCACUUUAAAAAGAUUUCUCAGGGUAGGUUCACUGUUAUCCAAGAGUUUUUCAGCGCUGAUGCAAUAUAACUGUUAUCAUUGUUAGGACUCAGGGGACUGUUCUUUUUGACAGGGCCUUUCAUGAAGUCAACAAAUCAGUUUAAAACAAGCCAUAAAUUAUAUUUGGCUGCCUGUCAGCUUGGCUGGGGUGUUCUCCCAGUGCUGCUGUAAGCGUUGGGGAAAGAAUACAACAACACGUCCAGAUAUUUUGCUUUUAGGAGAUAUUUUGUUCCUAAUUUAAAAAGAAAGCAUCUCCCUAGCAUUGACUCUGAUGCAUAAACAUAUGUUAGAACAGCCAUCAAGAUUUUUACAGACUUCCCUACAAAUAAAUGCACCCGUUCUGGAUCCUAAGUGAUAGCUUAAUAAAUAAUGGACUCAGUACAGAUCUCCCCAACGAGUGCCUGCCACUCAUUGCUAAACUAGGGAACUGUCAGCAAGAUCAUCACCCCACUCUUGCUCCUGUAUGUGGAGAGAGAGGUGGGUCCUGAUAGAUGGGAUCCAAUCCUCCUAUAGCUCUCCAGAUAUUAUUAACAUCCUGAAUUGCAGCCAGAACUCACAGAAAAGACAAUAGUGUCUACUUACAGUCUGCUGAGUUAGCAGCUACAGCUUUAGCCAGUGCAGCCAAACAAGAAAUCACACACAGACAUCAUUACCUUUGGAAGUGUCCAGUUCCUUGUUUUAUAUAGAUUUUCCCAUCAGUGUCCAAUCCUGGCUGCUGCUGCAGAGUGGCAUUAACACACCCCAUAAGUCCCCUUGGAGUCAGGGCAGGGAAGGUGGCUGUGGGAAGGCCACACUUACAGGGAAGCAGGCACAUAUUCAUAAGGAAAAACAAUGGAACCUCUGGAGACUUCAGAAGCAAUCUGAACACAGAAGUACCUUCCUCAGUCAUGGACAUGUUUCCUUGGGAUUAGGGAAAGGCACCCUCUCCUUCAGAGCCUUUUUACAAACUACCAGCAGCACUUUCAUCUUGUCUGAAUUAUUGUUGGGUUUUGCUCCUUUUCCGGGGCUUGGUAUUACAGGAUAUUGGGAAAACAGAUUCUACAAAGGAGGGACAGAGGGACACCAAGCCUUGACUGAAAUCCCAGAGAAGUCCUUUAUGGGGUAAAGACUGUUUCUUUCUGUUCUUUCUGACAGGAUGGAAAAGCCCUAUUCGCAAUGGUCAGCCUGUCCUGACAAGAUAUGACAGUAGCAAAAGCUCCUGUGGCAUCACAUACCAGACAAGGCUCUCGUGCUCCCAAUUCUACCAAAAGCCUUAAGGAUAAGAUGUGUGGCUGGGCUGGGAGCUCACACCCACCAACAGUGACCACAGCAGCUCUCAGAAGUGCAUGAAGACGUGGAAGGAGCCCUAAUGUGAUAGGAUGGAAGUGAUGGCAAUGCCAGCCCAUUUAAGUUCAGCUCCAAGAAUCAGCUUGUGGUCAUUGGGACCAUGUUAUUCUUUCAGUAGGAUGUUCUGUAUGAGCCCUUGGAAGUGAGAGCGAUAAAAUGGCUCAGAUCACUUUUUGCCUUUACAGCAAACCUUUCAUCAGAGGAACCUCAAAGCAACUUGCCAGCAAGAACGGGCACAACCUCACACUGUGCCUGUGAGAUAAGCGAAGGAUGGAAUAGAUUAACUGCUUAAAAGCACACAGCAGCUCUGUGGGAUGAAGGAAAAAUAAGAAAAAAACCUUAUAUAUAUACAUACACGUUUGAAACCAUACAGGGUUUUAUGGAGAGGCAGCCUGGAAGGCUGCCAGGAUACUGAAAUUGCCACCCCUACACAACCACGAAUACCAUGGAAACCAGUGGGGCACUGGCAGGCAGGAAAGGAAAUCAGCUGAAAAAUGGCUUUCCAUGAAAUGCAGCCAGGCUGGGACACUGCUCCCCUCCUGGCUGAGGGAGGCCUACGUGCCGAACCACCAGUGCUGCUGCCGGUGGGAGCUGGCCUCCAGGAGGGAGCCAUUCCCAGUCAUUUCCCAGCCUGGGGUGGCGCUUUCCUGGCGGCGGCCAGUGGAUGACAGCAAAAAGAGGGAUGGAUGAAAACUGCUACAUCAUGUCAGCUGUGGUGUGGAGGUAAUGGAAACCCUGAGUGCCUAGUAAAGCUUCAACACAUGCUGGGAGGUAUAGGAAGAUCAAAGUCAGUUGACAUCUGAAUGAGGACAGGGAAGGAACAAGUUUGUGCAAGCUCCUGCCUGCCCUGUCUGGUGAGGCACGAUUGAAAAGCACAAAACACUCAUCAGUUUUCCCUCAAAAUACUAAGAAAGCACAAAGAAGGAUUCCUUUAACCUGAGCGAAAGUAAGUAAAGGAGAGAGGCCUGGAAAACGAAGCCAAAAUUAACAAAUGAAACUGAAUAUAACAGGAAUAACAGCAAUAAACAAACCCAGACAAGCAGUGGAGGAGGAAUGAACACACUGUUAAUCUGUCAAGUACACCGUGCCCACAUCAAACUACAGAGUGAGCCCAGAGAAAUACCCAGCCUCCUAGCUGAGCAAGGGCACCUGCUUGUUACCAAACAGCACACAUCCCUUAAAAAGUCAUACUCCUGGUAAGCCAGGGGAGGAGGAAUUCAAGCACAGAACAGCUGUACUCAUUCAAAAUACUGCUAAGAGGAACAGCGGCAUCUUAUGAGUAAGCUGGAUACGGCGCAACCAGCACCAGGCUUGAGCAAAAAUAGCCCAGUGGAGAUGAGAGGCAAGUAGAGACAUCAGCACACAGCUCUCCUUCUGGCUCUCUGCAACUGAAGGGUGCAGAGGUGAUCUCCUACAGAGCCUAGAUUGAAUAGAGGCAGGGGGACAUUUCUACAGAAAAGCAAAGAGGGCUGGAAAACCAGAGAAGGAGCAGAGCAGCAUUUCUGCUGCUCUAAAAUGCACAGAGCUAACAGACCUUCCAGUGGCCACAGGGGAGGGCUGGAAGGGGAUGGGAGCAUUGCCAUGGCUGGCCCUGAUAAGGCUCUAUCUAGGAACAGGAGAGGGCUGUGCAGCCGAGAAACGGGUCUGGAGGAGUGCGAGAACAACAGGAUAACAUCAGGCACUUCUGACACAGCUGAAGGACCGCCACUGGUCAUCAGGAGACAAGUGAAGAUGGGAGACUUUAAAGUGCUGCCAGGAAAAACAAGCUACAGCCAGGGUCGAGGAACAUGGGAUCCAACUCCUAGUUGUCAGCAAUUGUGGUGUAUACAUUGCUGAAAACAGAUGCAGUGCCAGGAAAAUCCAACUCCCAGCAUGAAAAGAAUAACUUAGGAAUGAUAAUGAGAGAAGCCAAAGCAACUGCGACUGUGAAUUAGUGAUUACAUGAAAGUUUUUAUCUUAAAGUUAUGUUAGGCCAAAUCCUGAAGUAAUUUUUUCAUCCAAGAGUACUCCCUCGAGAACCCUGUGAUUUGGCCACAAAUUGCUACAUUAGAAAAAAACCCAAACCAAACAAACAGCCCCCCCCGCCCCCUCUGAAAAAAAAAGAAAAAAAAAGGCAUAACAAAACUAAGAUUUCUUUUUUAUGCUGGCUGGACAUACAUAGCAGGCAAUACUCUGACUGGCAUUAAACACUUCUCCAGCAGGUAGCUGAAGUCCUCUGCUUCAUGGCACCAUCCAGCAUCACCGUGAGGGACAGGCCAGUCAUCAGGAUUUGCUCCCUUAUGUGGCUGCUACCCAGGGAAGUGGGAACUGUGGCUGUUUGUUAUGAAGACAAGUACAUGUUAUUCAAGCUCCCUGAAACAAGUCAGGUACAAUCCUCAUCACAGUUCCUCCCACUUGGACCUAUCAAAGCUACUCCUGAAAAACUGAACAUACAGAAGCCUGGGUACUGCCAUAAGGAAAUGUAGCAAUCAUCACUGCCCACCAUGUGCUGAACAGCAAUAAAAAUGUCUUUUAAAAA
Zonotrichia albicollis (white-throated sparrow) is the source of this 7207-nucleotide non-coding RNA. Lineage: Eukaryota; Metazoa; Chordata; Aves; Passeriformes; Passerellidae. The record is from RefSeq and is a predicted model, not a curated record.